ACGGAAGAAGGGGACUAUAAGGUCAAGCUUCGCAACCUUAUUCGUUUCCUGUCUGACGGGGACAAGGCCAAGGUAUCCUUGCGAUUCCGCGGCCGCGAGAUGGCUCAUCAGGAGCUGGGGAUGGAGUUGUUGAAGCGGGUUGAAGCUGACCUGAUUGAAUACGGCACCGUCGAACAGCACCCGAAAAUGGAAGGUCGUCAGCUGAUGAUGGUCCUCGCCCCCAAAAAGAAAAAGUAAUCUCCAGGGCAACGCCAGGCCUUGCGAUUAUCUGAUGCACUUCACUGUGGAGUAACUGAACAUGGCAAAGAUGAAGACCAAAAGCGCA
This 325-nucleotide unclassified non-coding RNA is filed under the name Halopseudomonas sabulinigri. Its description in RNAcentral is "Pseudomonas sabulinigri Long range pseudoknot". Lineage: Bacteria; Pseudomonadati; Pseudomonadota; Gammaproteobacteria; Pseudomonadales; Pseudomonadaceae. The record is from RNAcentral.